RNAcentral lists this ribosomal RNA (383 nucleotides) under uncultured eukaryote. Its description in RNAcentral is "partial 18S ribosomal RNA". It matches the Rfam family "Eukaryotic small subunit ribosomal RNA", at positions 592 to 976 of the family's 1831-position model. The record is from RNAcentral.
CAAUAGCGUAUAUUAAAGUUGUUGCAGUUAAAAAGCUCGUAGUUGGAUUUCUGGUAGGAGCGACCGUGCCGAACUUGAUUGUUCGAGUAUUGUGUUGUCUUCAGCCAUCCUCGUGGAGAACUUUUCUAACAUUAACUUGUUGGGAUUUGGACCCGCGUCGUUUACUGUGAAAAAAUUAGAGUGUUUAAAGCAGGCAUUAGCUUGAAUACAUUAGCAUGGAAUAAUAAGAUAGGACUUUGGUACUAUUUUGUUGGUUUGCAUACCAAAUUAAUGAUCAACAGGAACAGUUUGAGGAUAUUCGUAUGAACAUGUCAGAGGUGAAAUUCUUGGAUUUUGAUCAGACGAACUACUGCGAAAGCAUUUAUCAAGGAUGUUUUCAUUAA